This 1554-nucleotide small RNA is filed under the name Pongo abelii (Sumatran orangutan). RNAcentral describes it as "processed transcript". The record is from RNAcentral. Lineage: Eukaryota; Metazoa; Chordata; Mammalia; Primates; Hominidae.
AGCAGUGGGGGAGAGCUCAGCCAGCCCUGCAGGGCGAGCAGUCCAGCCUUGGGUUCACCGGAGCUUAAGCGUUGCAGCAGGAAAACUUCCAUCUCGCUCUCCUGGCUUUGAUCCUCACUGGACAUCAGACCAGAGGCACCGAAGGGAGGGAGGAUGCGAGAUGACCGGCCUUUUGGCAACCUGACCAUCGACUUUGCAGAGCCUUCAAAAGCAAGCCAGGGGCUGGCUGCACGACCAAAGAGGCGCCGCGCCUCUCGUGGAUGUGUGUGUGUGAGUGAUCCAGCGAGUGUGUGUGCGUGUGAGGGUGUGUGUGUGUAUGCCUGUGUGCACAGCACAACUAUGUGCGUGUCCCGGUGAGUGUGCCUGUGCAUGCAUGAGUGUGUGUAUGUGUGCAUGUGUGUGUGAGUGCUCUUGGUUAUUACUAUUAUUAUUAUUUUUGGAAGAACAAUCUUUGAAAAUCUGGGGCAGGUUACUGUGCUCCUAGGGUGAUUCUUCUUUUGCAAGAGGAGCUGACCAGAGCAAGCUACUAGAGCCAUUUCUCGGCAAGUAAAGAGAUUUUUCCUCCCAGAAGGAGAAGGAUUUUUCUCCCUGCUCUGCAGCCAAGUGAAAGAGAUUAGUCCCUAAACCUGUGAAAUCGACCAGAGCUGUGUGAUUACCAGGGCUUGAGAGAGGACUCGAAAAGAAAAGGAGAAAUAAAUCAAGCAGCCUGUCAGUUCCUUUGGCCACGUCGGAAGAUGUCAUCUCAAACUAAGUUCAAGAAAGACAAAGAGAUCAUUGCUGAAUAUGAAGCCCAAAUAAAAGGGAGAGCUGGAGAAAUUCUUAUAGAAGAAGGAUCUUUUGAGCAGGAUUUUGAAGAAUGAAUAGAAGCUCUCCAGGUGGUGAAAAGCAUUACCUGAAGAGAAGACAGCAUGUGCAAAGGUAUGGGGGUCACAAAAGCGUCAGGGUACUUGAGAAAUGGUGAGGAGUUUGAGGUGGCUAAAAUCCUGAGUAGGUAGAACGAAAUGGUGGUGGGAGAUGAGGCUGGAAAGGAGAAGAGCUUGAAGUUCCUGUCUGAUCGUCAGAUCCUGUAAGUCUUUGACCUUGAAGAUGGUAUGGAUGAGAGUCUUAUUUAUUUGUUGUGGUAAAAUACACAAACACAAAGUUUACCAUCUUACCCAUUUUUAAUUGUGCAGCUCAGUGGUAUUAAAUGCAUUCACAUUAAAUGCCACCCAUCUUCAUAACUUCUUUCAUCUUGUGAAAUGCAGCUCUGUACCCAUUAAACAAUAGCUCCUCGGCUGGGCGCGGUGGCUCACACUUGUAAUCCCAGCACUUUGGGAGGCUGAGGUGGGCGGAUCACGGGGUCAGGAGAUCGAGACCAUCCUGGCUAACACGGUGAAACCCCGUCUCUACUAAAAAUACAAAAAAAUUAGCCUGGCACAGUGGCGGGCGCCUGUAGUCCCAGCUAGUCGGGAGGCUGAGGCAGGAGAAUGGCGUGAACCCGGCAGGCGGAGCUUGCAGUGAGCCGAGAUCACGCCACUGUACUCCAGCCUGGGCGACAGAGCAAGACUCUGUCUC